Nycticebus coucang (slow loris) is the source of this 1531-nucleotide RNA transcript. It is a transcript of the gene named serine/threonine-protein phosphatase 2A catalytic subunit alpha isoform-like, with no coding region annotated. The record is from RefSeq and is a predicted model, not a curated record. Lineage: Eukaryota; Metazoa; Chordata; Mammalia; Primates; Lorisidae. The transcript is spliced from 2 exons.
AUGGACGAGAAGGUGUUCACCAAGAAGCUGGACCGUGGAUCGAGCCGCUGAAUGAGUGCAAGCAGCUGUCCGAGUCCCAGGUCAAGAGCCUGUGCGAGAAGGCUAAAGAAAUCCUGAUGAAAGAACCCAACGUGCAGGAGGUUCCAUGUCCAGUCACUGAUCUCAUGGGACUGUUUAGAACUGGUGGCAAAUCACCAGAGACAAAUUAUUUGUUAUGGGAGAUUAUGUUGACAGAGGAUAUUAUUCCUUGAAACAGUUACACUGCUUGUAACUCUCAAGGUUCUUAUACUGAAGGCCUCACCAUUCUUCCAGGGAAUCAUGAGAGCAGACAGAUCACACAAAUUUAUGGCUACCACUUCUAGGGAGUGUGGAAAUACUUUACAGAUCUUUUUGAUUAUCUUCCUCUCACUGCCUUGGUGGAUGGACAGAUGGUCUGUCUACAGGGUGGCCUCUUGCCAUCCAUAGAUACACUGAAUCAUAUUAGAGCCCUUGAUUGCCUGGAAGAAGUUCCACAGGAGGAUCCAAUGUGUGUCUUGCUGUGGUCAGAUUCAGAUGACUGUGGUGGUUAGGGUUUAUCUCCUCGAGGAGCUAGUUAUACCUUUGGGCAAGAUAUUUCUGAGACAUGUAAUCAUGCCAAUGGCCUCACAUUGGUGUCUGGAGCUCAUCAGUUGGUGAUGGAGGGAUAUAACUGGUGCCAUGACAGGAAUGUAGUAACAGAUUUUCAGUGCUCCAAACUAUUGUUAUCAUUGUGGUAAUCAAGCUGCAAUCAUGGAACUUGAUGAUACUCUAAAAUACUCUUUCUUACAAUUUGACCCAGCACCCUGUAGAGGCCAGCCACAUGCUACUUGUUGUACCCCAGACUACAUCCUGUAAUGAAAUUUUAAACUUGUACAAUAUUGCCAUAAACCAUAAAUUGACCCAAUGGAAAUGGGAAGAGCAACAGUAACCCCCAAGUGUCAGAAAAUAGUUAACAUUCAAAAAACUUGUUUUCACGUGGACCAAAAGAUGUGCCAUAUAAAAAUACAAAGCCUCUUGUCAUCAAAAGUCAUGACCACUUUAGAAUGAACCAGUUCGUUGCAUGCUGAAGCAACAUUGUUGGUUAAAAAACCAGUUUCUGGCAUAGCGCUAUUCGUAGUUACUUUUGCUUUCUCUGAAAUAAGAUGUAAACAUUAACACCACGUGAAUACAAUUUAACUUCCAUUUAGCUAUAGCUUUAUUCAGCAUGACUGUAGAUAAGGAUAGCAGCAAACAAUCAUUGGAGCUUAAUGAACAUUUUUAAAAAUAAGUACCAAGGCUUCCCCUCUACUUGUGAGUUUUGAAAUUGUUUGUUUAUUUCAGGGAUACCAUUUAAUUUAAUUAUAUGAUUUAUCUGCACUCAGUUUAUUCCCUUCUCAAAUCUCAGCCCCAUGUUGUUCUUUGUUAUUGUCAGACCUGGUGAGUUGUUCUGAACAGAACUGUUUUACCCCCUCCUAUAAGAUGAUAUUACUGCACAAGAGCACUGCAGUGUUUUUCAUAAUAAAUUUGUGAACUA